CCUACGGGUGGCUGCAGUGGGGAAUAUUGCACAAUGGGCGCAAGCCUGAUGCAGCCAUGCCGCGUGUGUGAAGAAGGCCUUCGGGUUGUAAAGCACUUUCAGCGGGGAGGAAGGCGUUAAGGUUAAUAACCUUGUCGAUUGACGUUACCCGCAGAAGAAGCACCGGCUAACUCCGUGCCAGCAGCCGCGGUAAUACGGAGGGUGCAAGCGUUAAUCGGAAUUACUGGGCGUAAAGCGCACGCAGGCGGUCUGUCAAGUCGGAUGUGAAAUCCCCGGGCUCAACCUGGGCACUGCAUUCGAAACUGGCAGGCUAGAGUCUUGUAGAGGGGGGUAGAAUUCCAGGUGUAGCGGUGAAAUGCGUAGAGAUCUGGAGGAAUACCGGUGGCGAAGGCGGCCCCCUGGACAAAGACUGACGCUCAGGUGCGAAAGCGUGGGGAGCAAACAGGAUUAGAUACCCGGGUAGUC
This 465-nucleotide ribosomal RNA is filed under the name uncultured Klebsiella sp. Its description in RNAcentral is "bacterial SSU rRNA". It matches the Rfam family "Bacterial small subunit ribosomal RNA", at positions 338 to 795 of the family's 1533-position model. The record is from RNAcentral. Lineage: Bacteria; Pseudomonadati; Pseudomonadota; Gammaproteobacteria; Enterobacterales; Enterobacteriaceae.